RNAcentral lists this ribosomal RNA (468 nucleotides) under uncultured bacterium. Its description in RNAcentral is "partial 16S ribosomal RNA". It matches the Rfam family "Bacterial small subunit ribosomal RNA", at positions 28 to 507 of the family's 1533-position model. The record is from RNAcentral.
GACGAACGCUGGCGGCGUGCUUAAUACAUGCAAGUCGAACGGAAAGGCGCUGCUCUUGUGGGGUUCUCGAGUGGCGAACGCGGGAGUGACACGCGAGUAACCUGCACUUGACUUUGUGAUAACUUCAGGAAACUGGGGCUAAUAUCGGGUAGGAGCUCCUGCUGCAUGGGGGGGGUUGGAAAGUGUCGGCGGUUGGGGAUGGUCUCGCGGCUUAUCAGCUGGUUUGGGUGGUAGUGGCGUACCAAGGGUUUGACGGGUAGCCGGCCUGAGAGGUUGACCGGCCACAUUGGGCCUGAGAUACGGAGCAGAAUCCUAUGGGAGGCAGCAGUGGGGAGUAUUGCACAAUGGGCGGAAGUGUGAUGCAGCAACGCCGCGUGCGGGAUGACGGCUUUUGGGUUGUAAACCGCUUUCGCAGGUGAUGAAGACUGAGUGACGGUACUGGGUAAAGAAGCACCGGCUAACUACGUG